Molecule: long non-coding RNA, 789 nt
Organism: Poecilia latipinna (sailfin molly)
Lineage: Eukaryota; Metazoa; Chordata; Actinopteri; Cyprinodontiformes; Poeciliidae
Exons: 3
Source: RefSeq, a predicted model, not a curated record
AGGGAAGACAAAAGGCAAGUAACAAUCACACACCCACCUCUCAUCGCAGUUGCACAAGAACAAACCUUUUGGUCCAAUGCUGCAAUAUGCUCUCAUAGCAGACAAUAUCUAGGGCUGCAGGUGUAUUGAAUAAGGAGAUGAUUGUCAAAUAGCAAGGGAGGAUUUAGAAAGAGAAAAAAAAAAGGCAAGAGAAGUUAAGCAUGCCUCCUCAUCCCCCGGCUGAUUACUAUUCAGCUGUGUCUAUUCAGUGGAAUUGCAGCAGCUUCUAUUAUAGGCUUCAAUAAAUUAAAGAUGUGAUAAAAGAUGCGCAGGUUGCCUCAAGGACCUCUCUCUGUUCUUUUUAACUCAUACACAAACCCAAUCUUUCAGCGGCUCCGUCUCUGUCUUCCCAGCGCAUUCAUAUGUACGCGAAGCGAGGGAAGAGAGGGACCCGCAGUUGAGCUCCAUAAUCUCCGAAGCCACCUUCACCACCUCGAAGCAAAUCCCACGAGGCGUUUCCCUGCUGCUUCACACCUGACCCAAUUGAACGGCUGGCUGCCAGGCUUCAGCAGCACUCGGGCGACAUGCUGAGGGAGGUAAUUCAAUCAUCUGAGUCAGUUGGCGCUGGAGCAAAGAGACAUCUGAAACAGGAAGGGCAGCCGGCCCCCCGGAGGACCAGGCCUGAGAAACGGUGCUCUGAAAGCACCGCGGGGCUCAUUUGCCUCAGUUAAGAUUUCCUGGCAGCUUUGGGAAGAUGAGCAGCAAACGUUUCAGGGACUGAGCUCAUUAUUAUUUUUCUUUCUUUUUCUA